UUCACGAAUGAUGAGUGACACAGGGACUUAAUACCAAUUGUGCGCUUGUGA
RNAcentral lists this small nucleolar RNA (51 nucleotides) under Ochotona princeps (American pika). Its description in RNAcentral is "Small nucleolar RNA SNORD82 (ENSOPRG00000022687.1)". The record is from RNAcentral. Lineage: Eukaryota; Metazoa; Chordata; Mammalia; Lagomorpha; Ochotonidae.